This 308-nucleotide ribosomal RNA is filed under the name uncultured bacterium. Its description in RNAcentral is "bacterial SSU rRNA". It matches the Rfam family "Bacterial small subunit ribosomal RNA", at positions 29 to 363 of the family's 1533-position model. The record is from RNAcentral.
AGCGAACGCUGGCGGCAGGCUUAACACAUGCAAGUCGAGCGCCCGUAGCAAUACGGGAGCGGCAGACGGGAGAGUAACACGUGGGAACAUGCCCUUCGGUUCGGAAUAACUCAGGGAAACUUGAGCUAAUACCGGAUACGUCCGUAAGGAGAAAGAUUUAUCGCCGAAGGAUUGGCCCGCGUCCGAUUAGCUUGUUGGUGAGGUAACGGCUCACCAAGGCGACGAUCGGUAGCGGUCUGAGAGGAUGAUCAGCCUCACUGGGACUGAGACACGGCCCAGACUCCUACGGGAGGCAGCAGUGGGGAAUA